This 957-nucleotide unclassified non-coding RNA is filed under the name Hevea brasiliensis (rubber tree). Lineage: Eukaryota; Viridiplantae; Streptophyta; Magnoliopsida; Malpighiales; Euphorbiaceae. The record is from RNAcentral.
GUAAAAAGCUCGAGUGAGUAACUGAUCAUAGAGCCAAAAAGUUCCAUAUAGUCUUCUUGGAGAGGAGGAGGAAACAAUGGAGAUUGAGGAAUUGAGCAGUUAUGAGGCACUGCCACUUCUCUCCUUGAAUCAUGUUUCUUUGCUGUGCAGAUCAGUGUGGGCUUCCGUGAGGUUCUACGAGGAUGUUUUAGGCUUUGUUCUCAUCAAACGACCUUCUUCUUUCAAUUUCAAUGGAGCUUGGUUGUACAAUUAUGGCAUUGGGAUACAUUUGAUUGAGAACCCAGCCAUUGAUGAAUUUGACCCCAUUACUGAACCUCGUCCAAUUAAUCCCAAGGAUAAUCACAUCUCCUUUCAGUGCACUGAUGUUGGGCUUGUUAAGAGGAGGUUGCAAGAACUGGGAAUGAGGUACGUGACAGCAGUGGUGGAAGAUGAUGGGAACAGAGUGGAUCAGGUUUUCUUUCAUGACCCAGAUGGUUACAUGGUUGAACUCUGCAAUUGUGAGAACAUCCCAAUUAUCCCACUCUCCUCCUGCUCAUUCAGGCCCAGAAACAUGGGAAGCUUCAAGAGAGCAGCACCCAACAAAUGUGGGUUUAUGGAGAAUGUGAUGAUGGAGAACUUGAGCAUGGACAUGAUGAACAUUUCUUUCUGAUCAGCUCCCAGAUUUGGGAGAAGCAAAAAAAAAAAAAAUCUUCCAAUUUAUUUUGUUGCUUUAACAAAUAUCAAAUUCCCUUUUAUCGGGUCUUUUAUAUAUAUAUGGCAAUUGUGCCAUCAAGUGUUUGUAUUUGGUCAUGUGAGUGCUUAAUAAUAAGAUUGUAAGAAAGAAAUAUGAGUUGGGUUUGUGUCUGUUAAUACCCUAAAGCCAAACAUGUGGCUUUUCAAUUUCUGUAGUGAAAAUAUGUUUGUAUCAUUAUACUGUUUAUUCAAUGAGACUCCCAGCAAUCUGUUUUGUGUUUAAAA